UAAAGAAUUUCGGUAUGGGAUGGGGAUGCGUUCCAUUAGUUAGUUGGCGGGGUAACGGCCCACCAAGACAACGAUGGAUAGGGGUUCUGAGAGGAAGGUCCCCCACAUUGGAACUGAGACACGGUCCAAACUCCUACGGGAGGCAGCAGUGAGGAAUAUUGGUCAAUGGACGAGAGUCUGAACCAGCCAAGUAGCGUGAAGGAUGACUGCCCUAUGGGUUGUAAACUUCUUUUAUAUGGGAAUAAAAUGUCCCACGUGUGGGAUUUUGUAUGUACCAUAUGAAUAAGGAUCGGCUAACUCCGUGCCAGCAGCCGCGGUAAUACGGAGGAUCCGAGCGUUAUCCGGAUUUAUUGGGUUUAAAGGGAGCGUAGGUGGAUUGUUAAGUCAGUUGUGAAAGUUUGCGGCUCAACCGUAAAAUUGCAGUUGAAACUGGCAGUCUUGAGUACAGUAGAGGUGGGCGGAAUUCGUGGUGUAGCGGUGAAAUGCUUAGAUAUCACGAAGAACUCCGAUUGCGAAGGCAGCUCACUGGACUGCAACUGACACUGAGGCUCGAAAGUGUGGGUAUCAAACAGGAUUAGAUACCCUGGUAGUCCACACAGUAAACGAUGAAUACUCGCUGUUUGCGAUAUACUGCAA
This 636-nucleotide ribosomal RNA is filed under the name uncultured bacterium. Its description in RNAcentral is "bacterial SSU rRNA". It matches the Rfam family "Bacterial small subunit ribosomal RNA", at positions 202 to 842 of the family's 1533-position model. The record is from RNAcentral.